GACGAACGCUGGCGGCGUGCCUAAUACAUGCAAGUUGAGCGCUGAAGGUUGGUACUUGUACCAACUGGAUGAGCAGCGAACGGGUGAGUAACGCGUGGGGAAUCUGCCUUUGAGCGGGGGACAACAUUUGGAAACGAAUGCUAAUACCGCAUAAAAACUUUAAACACAAGUUUUAAGUUUGAAAGAUGCAAUUGCAUCACUCAAAGAUGAUCCCGCGUUGUAUUAGCUAGUUGGUGAGGUAAAGGCUCACCAAGGCGAUGAUACAUAGCCGACCUGAGAGGGUGAUCGGCCACAUUGGGACUGAGACACGGCCCAAACUCCUACGGGAAGCAGCAGUAGGGAAUCUUCGGCAAUGGGUGGAAGUCUGACCGAGCAACGCCGCGGGAGUGAAGAAGGUUUUCGGAUCGUAAAAAUCUGUUGGUAGAGAAGAACGUUGGUGAGAGUGGAAAGCUCAUCAAGUGACGGUAACUACUCAGAAAGGGACGGCUAACUACGUG
This 497-nucleotide ribosomal RNA is filed under the name uncultured bacterium. Its description in RNAcentral is "partial 16S ribosomal RNA". It matches the Rfam family "Bacterial small subunit ribosomal RNA", at positions 28 to 507 of the family's 1533-position model. The record is from RNAcentral.